Molecule: ribosomal RNA, 759 nt
Filed under: uncultured bacterium
Lineage: Bacteria
Description: bacterial SSU rRNA
Rfam family: Bacterial small subunit ribosomal RNA
Source: RNAcentral
GCCCUUUAUCGGGGAUAACUUGCCGAAAGGUGAGCUAAUACCGGAUGUCCUAUCUGGACACAAGUCUAAGAUAGCAAAGGUGGCCUCUUAACAAUGCUGCCGUAAAAGGAUGGACCCGCGUCUGAUUAGCUAGUUGGUGAGGUAAUGGCUCACCAAGGCGACGAUCAGUAGCCGGCCUGAGAGGGUGAACGGCCACACUGGGACUGAGACACGGCCCAGACUCCUACGGGAGGCAGCAGUGGGGAAUCUUCCGCAAUGGACGAAAGUCUGACGGAGCAACGCCGCGUGAGUGAUGAAGGUCUUCGGAUUGUAAAACUCUGUUUUUUGGGACGAACGGCUCAUAUGUAAACAAUGUAUGAGAUUGACGGUACCAAAGGAGGAAGCCCCGGCUAACUACGUGCCAGCAGCCGCGGUAAUACGUAGGGGGCAAGCGUUGUCCGGAAUUAUUGGGCGUAAAGAGCGCGCAGGCGGUAUGUUAAGUCUACCGUGAAAGCUUACGGCUCAACCGUAACAGGUCGGUGGAUACUGGCAUACUUGAGGGCAGGAGAGGAAAGUGGAAUUCCCAGUGUAGCGGUGAAAUGCGUAGAUAUUGGGAGGAACACCAGUGGCGAAGGCGACUUUCUGGACUGUUACUGACGCUGAGGCGCGAAAGCUGGGGGAGUGAACGGGAUUAGAUACCCCGGUAAUCCCAGCCGUAAACGAUGGGUACUAGGUGUAGGAGGUAUCGACCCCUUCUGUGCCGGAGUUAACGCAAUAAGU